UUUGUUCCUGAAAUAGAAACUGACAGUUAUCACAAAAAAGUUCUUUGUAGUAGUAGCGAGAAAUUUCUUCAGAUAGGUGCAAAGUAAGAUUCUGACAGGUAAAAAAUUAUCAAAGACCAUGCCGUCUAACGUCAGAAAGAAGAAACGUUUAAAAAAAGUAACAUGAAAACAAUGUCCGCUCUAGCUCAGACACUAAAUUGAAAGAACUAACAAACAAAGCCACCACGCAGCAUGACACAUCACAACAGACGAAAUCCUCAAGGUGAUAAUAGACGCCAGUUCAACUUCUACACUGAGGAAAAGGCACUCAAGGCGGUGAUAUCCGUUCAUGUACCUUGUCUGCAAGUGAUUCUCGACGUUUCAGCACCUAGGCAACAGUGCUUGGACAAUGGAUUGCUGAAAGGAUAAACACCUAGUUGGUUACAUACUACAAGGCAACAGCAAAUGUAAGAUCAAUCACAACGGAUGGUGAAACACUACCCUGUCUCACAACAACAGCAUGUUCCAGGCUCAUGUGAUCCUCACACAAUAGGGACUGGGCAUCUGAUUGUUUUAAUAAUCACCUGUAUCACCCUUUUAGCUUUAUUCCUGUCAUUCUGCACUUUACCUAACCUGUGAUAAAUCUUUCUUUUUGAAUGAA
Long non-coding RNA from Daphnia pulex (common water flea), 640 nucleotides. RefSeq lists it as uncharacterized. The transcript is spliced from 3 exons. The record is from RefSeq and is a predicted model, not a curated record. NCBI's taxonomy places the organism in Eukaryota, Metazoa, Arthropoda, Branchiopoda, Diplostraca, Daphniidae.